Corchorus olitorius is the source of this 87-nucleotide non-coding RNA. The record is from Rfam. NCBI's taxonomy places the organism in Eukaryota, Viridiplantae, Streptophyta, Magnoliopsida, Malvales, Malvaceae.
GCAUCCAUGUCUGAAUGGUUAAAGCGCCCAACCUAUACCAACAAGGAUAAAAGGGCAAAUUCGUAGUUUCAAUUCCUACUGGAUGCA